Molecule: long non-coding RNA, 1332 nt
Organism: Homo sapiens (human)
Lineage: Eukaryota; Metazoa; Chordata; Mammalia; Primates; Hominidae
Gene: ZBED5-AS1
Product: ZBED5 antisense RNA 1
Source: Ensembl
GACGAGCGGGCGCUGAUGCGGCGCAGACCCCGCCGGACCUCUUGGUCGGCCCGGGGUAGGCUGGGGAGCCGCGGGAACAGGACUGGAUAGGGAAAGCGGCACCGCAGCGUCCACGGGCAAGCUGAAAGUCCGCUUGAUGUCUUUGCAUCACAGUGGCGCCCUCCCCGCAGGAACGCCCGGCCGCCUGCACCGAACGUUUGCCUGCAGGGAACGGCCAACCCGCCCUGAAAUACUCUUUUUGUGGGCUGCAGCUUUCGGGUAUUUUAAGCCAUGGUUCUGUGCCCUUCCUUGUUUUCAAAAACACCACAGCCAAAGGCUGCGGGUUGUGUGCUUUCAUUUUGUGUUAAGUUCUGUGGUGGAGACCUGGAGUCUGUUUUUCCAAAUAGGCACCUUGAAAUAGAUACGCUUCUUAAGCGGGGAAAGUACGAAAUUGAGCAUACCACAAAAAAGUUCUCAUUUUGUGUCCUCCCAUCCCAUUCUCCUCACUAACCAAAGGCUAGGAAUUAUCUGUGAAUGUAGGACCACUGGAUUUGCAGUCUUCAUCUGACACUGUGGAGAGUUUCUAGGAAUGAAACAGAUAUAUGGCCUUGGGUCCCCUUUUUUUUUCUUUUUUUUUUUUUUAAUAGAGACGAGCAUCUCACUAUGUUGCCUAGGGUAGUCUUGAACUCCUGGCCUCAAGCAAUCCCCACCCGACUCCGCCUCUCGAAGUGAUGGGAUUACAGGCAUAAACCACCACGCCUGGCCAGAAGGUGCUUUAACACCAAAUCUGAAAAUUGUUCAGAAGAGAAACAUUGAGCAUGAACACCAUCUGUGCGAGUCAUUUACUUAUUGCCCCUCACCUCUAAAUCUACCUUCUGUACUCUUCUUCCCUGUAAUGAUGGGGCUAGUUGUCCUCAAACUGUUUCUCAGACUUCUUUUUAAGCUUGCUUCCUGUUCAGUUCUGCCAAUAGGGGUCACUAGAGAGAGACUGGGAGGCAGAAGGAGAGAAUAUGCUUCCUGUUUUUUCUGUUCUUGUUAAUGUUGCUUACAGGACCAGCAAUGCUUCUUCACCUAGAGACACUUCUCCCAGCAGUGGCAGUGCCACUUCAGCUUCUUUCAGCACUACUGGAAUCAGCCUCAGUGAUUCCCCCUGUACCCGCUCAGAGAUUAUCCACAGCAGCCAGAUGGUUCUACCUUCCACAAAGAUUGUGGUUGCAAUUCUGGGCUUCUAAGUUCUGGUUACUUCAUAUUUUUCCUUUUGUUCCUCCAGCCCUAGAGGUGGUAGCUGCUUUCUGAAGUUAUUAUUUCUAGAUGACUUUUGGUUUUUCAGCCUUUGUAUUUUGCUUUUCAGCC